GACAGAGGUCCCGAGCGUUAGGCGGAAUCACUGGGCUUAAAGCGUGUGUAGGCGGAUUUGUAAGUACCUUGUGAAAUCCCACGGCUCAACCGUGGAACUGCUUGGUAUACUGCUUAUCUUAGGCCAUCUAGGGGCUACCGGAACAAGUGGUGGAGCGGUGAAAUGCGUAGAUAUCACUUGGAACGCCAAUGGUGAAAACAGGUAGCUGGGGAUGUGCCGACGCUGAGACACGAAAGCCAGGGGAGCAAACGGG
Molecule: ribosomal RNA, 253 nt
Filed under: uncultured bacterium
Lineage: Bacteria
Description: partial 16S ribosomal RNA
Rfam family: Bacterial small subunit ribosomal RNA
Source: RNAcentral